RNAcentral lists this ribosomal RNA (492 nucleotides) under uncultured bacterium. RNAcentral's name for it is "partial 16S ribosomal RNA". It matches the Rfam family "Bacterial small subunit ribosomal RNA", at positions 29 to 507 of the family's 1533-position model. The record is from RNAcentral.
AGUGAACGCUGGCGGUAGGCCUAACACAUGCAAGUCGAACGGCAGCACAGUAAGAGCUUGCUCUUACGGGUGGCGAGUGGCGGACGGGUGAGGAAUACAUCGGAAUCUACUUUUUCGUGGGGGAUAACGUAGGGAAACUUACGCUAAUACCGCAUACGACCUACGGGUGAAAGCAGGGGAUCUUCGGACCUUGCGCGAUUGAAUGAGCCGAUGUCGGAUUAGCUAGUUGGCGGGGUAAAGGCCCACCAAGGCGACGAUCCGUAGCUGGUCUGAGAGGAUGAUCAGCCACACUGGAACUGAGACACGGUCCAGACUCCUACGGGAGGCAGCAGUGGGGAAUAUUGGACAAUGGGCGCAAGCCUGAUCCAGCCAUACCGCGUGGGUGAAGAAGGCCUUCGGGUUGUAAAGCCCUUUUGUUGGGAAAGAAAAGCAGCAGGUUAAUACCCCGCUGUUCUGAAGGUACAAAAAGAAUAAGCACCGGCUAACUUAGUG